Molecule: long non-coding RNA, 372 nt
Organism: Rosa rugosa (rugosa rose)
Lineage: Eukaryota; Viridiplantae; Streptophyta; Magnoliopsida; Rosales; Rosaceae
Exons: 2
Source: RefSeq, a predicted model, not a curated record
CCCAUUAUCAGUAAGUGUAUGAUACGAUAUGGCUCACAAGAAAACCGGCAGUAGCUCCGCUGCUUACUUGAUUCCCUUCAUAUUCCUGCUGUUCUUAUUACUGUGCUCACCGCAGAUAGCAUUUGGCAGAGUUUCGAAACUUUCGAAAAGCAAAUUCAAAAGGACCAGUACAAUGCAUCAGCAAAUGAAGAUCAUUCAUGGAAACAAAAUAGGCGUAGACGACAAUGGUACGCCAAAGACAGGAGGGCACGGUUGAUGAAUGAACCGGUUUCACUGAUCUAUAUUCUCUUAUAGAUGUCAUAAAGAUGAUCUUGUAUGCCUAAUAAUGUAUACAAUUAAACGUUUAUAUAUUUCUGUUCGUUAAUUUCUGUA